GGUCAAGCUACUAAGAGCACUAGAUGGAUGCCUAGGCAUUGACAGGCGAUGAAGGACGUGAUAAGCUGCGAUAAGCCGCGGGUAGCUGCAAACAAGCUUUGAUCCGCGGAUUUCCGAAUGGAGCAAUCCGGCAGAGGUAAUGCUCUGUCACCUGAAACUGAAUCCAUAGGUUUCAGGAGCGAUACUCAGGGAAGUGAAACAUCUCAGUACCUGAAGGAGAAGAAAUCAAUCGAGAUUCCGUAAGUAGUGGCGAACGAAAGCGGAAGAGGCUAAACCAGUCGGUUUACCGGCUGGGGUUGCGGGACCCUAAUACGACGAGCGGGAGUUAGCUGAACGGUCUGGAAAGUCCGAUCAUAGAAGGUGAAAAUCCUGUAAGCGAAAACCGAAGCGAGUCCAGGGGUAUCCCAAGUAGGACGUCACACGUGAAACGACGCCUGAAUCCGGGGAGACCACUCUCCAAGCCUAAAUACUAGUCAAUGACCGAUAGUUAACAAGUACCGCGAGGGAAAGGUGAAAAAGCACCCUUAUGAAGGGAGUUAAAAGUACCUGAAAUCCAGUGCUUACAAAGUGUGGGAGCGCCGCAAGGUGUGACCGCAUGCCUUUUGCAUAAUGAGCUUGCGACUUACGUUCAGCAGCGAGGUUAAGCCAGUAGGCGGAGCCGAAGCGAAAGCGAGUGUGAACAGCGCGCUAAGUUGCUGGAAGUAGACCCGAAGCUGAGUGAUCUAUCCAUGUCCAGGUUGAAUCUUCGGUAACACGAAGUGGAGGACCGAACCGGUUCAUGUUGAAAAAUGUUCGGAUGAGGUGUGGAUAGGAGCGAAAGACCAAUCAAACUCAGUGAUAGCUGGUUCUCUUCGAAAUAUCUUGAGGGAUAGCCUUGUGCAUAACUACGUGCCGGGGGUAGAGCUCUGAUUGUUCGAGGGUCCUUUACCUGGAUACCAACAACUGUCAAACUCCAAAUACCGGACACGCCUAUCACAGGAGUCAGACUGCGGGGGAUAAGCUUCGUAGUCGAGAGGGCAACAGCCCAGAUCGCCGGCUAAGGUCCCUAAUUCAAGCUAAGUGGAUCGAAGGAUGUGGAGUUGCGUAAACAGUCAGGAUGUUGGCUCAGAGGCAGCCAUCAUUUAAAGAUCGCGUAAUAGCGCACUGAUCGAGUGAUUCCGCGCCGAAGAUAAUCGGGACUAAGCUUGAAACCGAAGCCGCGAAUAGUACCUUUUGGUAUUAUGGUAGAAGAGCGUUGUAUGAGGAUCGAAGCCGAUUCGUAAGAUGAGGUGGACUUCAUACAAGUGACCAUGCAAGCAUGAGUAGCGAAAAACCGGAUGAGAAUUCCGGUCACCGAAAACCUAAGGUUUCCCGGGGAAGGUUCGUCCGCCCGGGGUUAGUCGGAUCCUAAGGUCAGGCCGAAAGGCGUAGCCGAUGGACAACAGGUUAAUAAUCCUGUACCACCUUGUUUGAGUGAUGGAGGGACGCAGAAAGCCAGGCGGGCCAACUGCUGAAUAUGUUGGUCGAAGCCCGUAGGGAGUGCUGUUGGCAAAUCCGCAGCACACAUAUCCUGAGAGGUGCAAGGUAUCUGGAACGCAAGUUUCGGAGAAUCCGCUGUGACUACGCUGACGAGAAAAGCUUCUAAACUUUGACGACGAGGUGUCCGUACCGUAAACCGACACAGGUGGGUGAGGCGAGUAGCCUAAGGUGCGCGAGAGAAACCAACGUUAAGGA
Molecule: ribosomal RNA, 1713 nt
Filed under: Prevotella sp.
Lineage: Bacteria; Pseudomonadati; Bacteroidota; Bacteroidia; Bacteroidales; Prevotellaceae
Description: partial 23S ribosomal RNA
Rfam family: Bacterial large subunit ribosomal RNA
Source: RNAcentral